ACUUAAAGUGCUUUACAAUCCGAAGACCUUCUUCACACACGCGGCAUGGCUGGAUCAGGCUUUCGCCCAUUGUCCAAUAUUCCCCACUGCUGCCUCCCGUAGGAGUCUGGACCGUGUCUCAGUUCCAGUGUGACUGAUCAUCCUCUCAGACCAGUUACGGAUCGUCGCCUUGGUGAGCCAUUACCUCACCAACUAGCUAAUCCGACCUAGGCUCAUCCGAUAGCGCAAGGCCCGAAGGUCCCCUGCUUUCUCCCGUAGGACGUAUGCGGUAUUAGCGCCCGUUUCCGGACGUUAUCCCCCACUACCGGGCAGAUUCCUAGGCAUUACUCACCCGUCCGCCGCUGAAUCAUGGAGCAAGCUCCACUCAUCCGCUCGACUUGCAUGUGUAGGCCUCCGCCAGCGUA
This 404-nucleotide ribosomal RNA is filed under the name Pseudomonas sp. MF38. Its description in RNAcentral is "partial 16S ribosomal RNA". Lineage: Bacteria; Pseudomonadati; Pseudomonadota; Gammaproteobacteria; Pseudomonadales; Pseudomonadaceae. The record is from RNAcentral.